Canis lupus familiaris (dog) is the source of this 3078-nucleotide long non-coding RNA. RefSeq lists it as uncharacterized. The record is from RefSeq and is a predicted model, not a curated record. The transcript has 3 exons. Lineage: Eukaryota; Metazoa; Chordata; Mammalia; Carnivora; Canidae.
UCUCCUGAGCCUCCUGGUCCCUUCGUUCAGAACCUGGCUGAUUCUUGGACGAAGCCUGAUCUACGGGCCUGUCCAUUGUCUCCGGGGGAGUCCCGUGGGUCCUGCUCACCAGCCAUCCCACCAGGGAUGAUGGUAGAAUACUUGGGUACCCAGUUCAGGGCAUUUCUCCCUACCCCCAGGGUCACUGUGUCCCGUAGAAGCAGUGUAUUGUGUAUUGGAUAACCCGAGUGUUCUCCAUGGCUCUGUCGGUCCAGAGCCUUUGGGUUUCCUGUGUCUGGAAACCUAAUUCAAUUGAUAUUGUUGAAGUCUCACUCAUGAGCCUGCUGCUGGGCCCUCGUUCAGAAGGAAGCUGAUUGCUGUCCCUGCCUGGUAUGUGGGUCGUUCUGGUGCGCCCAGGGGAGUCCAGUGGGGCCUGCUCACCAGCCUUCCCGCCAGGGAUGAUGUGACAAUUCCAGUGUACCUACGUUCAGGGUAUUUUCCCCCAUCCCCCAGCUCGCUGUGGCCCGUGAAACAAGAGUUGGGUGAAAGCUCUCAUGCUCUCCUUGGUUUUGGUGCUCCAGAGUCCUUUUGAUCCUUCCGUUUGGAAUCCUAAAUCCAUGCCUAUUGUUGAAAAGCCUCUCUUGAGCUGAUGCCGGCCCUCUUGGGGAGCAGGCUGCUUACUAGCCCCAGCCUGAUCUGUGGGACGUUCCAGUGCCUCCUGGGGAGUCCCGUGGGUCCUGCUGACCAGCCAUCCCACCACGGAUGAUGUGAAAAUGAACUUGUCCGUACAGUCAGGGCAUUUCUCCCCAUCCCCGAGUUCACUGUGGCCGAUGAAAACAGAGGUCUAGGAAAGCUUGUGCGCUCUCCUUGGAUUUGGUGCUUCAGAUUCUUUUGCUUUUUUCUGUGGAAACCUAAUUCCAUUGAUAUUGUUGAAAUCUCUCUCAUGAGCCCGCUCCCUGUCGUCUUCGUACUCAGGCUUUUCCCUGGCCCCAGCCUGAACUGUGGCCCGUUCUAGUGCCCCUGGGAAGUCCCGUGGGUCCUGCCGACCAGCCAUCCCACCAGGAAUGAUGUAAGAAGACGAGUGUACCUACGUUCAGGGCAUGUCUCCUUAUGCCUAGGUUCGCUGUGGCUGAUGAAAGCAGAGUUCUGGGAAACCCCGCCUGGUCUCCUUGGCUUGGGUGCCCCAGAGUCCUUUGGUUUCUUCUUUUUGGAAUGCUAAUUCCGUUGAUAUUGUUGAAAUCGGUCUCGUGAGCCUGCCUCGGGGCCCUCUUUCCGAAGCAGGCUGAUUUCUCACAACAGCCUCAUCUGUCGCUCUUUCUGUUGCCUCCUCGGGAGUCCCCUGGAUCCUGCUGACCAGCCGCCAACCAGCGAUGAUGUGAGAAUACCAGUGGACCUACGUUCAGGGCUUUUCUCCACGUCCCCCUGUUCGCUGUGGCGGAUGAAACCAGGUUUCCGGGAGGGCCCGCAUGCUCCCCUGCCUUUGGGGCUCCAGACUCCUUUGGUGUCCUGCGUUUGGAAACCAUAUCCAUUGAUACUGUUGGAAUCUCUUUCGUGAGCCUGCUGCCUGGACCUCUUUCCGAAACAGGCUGGCAGGCAACAGUGUCCGAUGAAAGCAAAAUGUUUGGAAACCAUGCCUUUUCUCCUUGGCUUUGCUCUGCAGUAAUCCCUUGUUUUCCACACCUGGUAUCCUAAUUCCAUCCAUAUUGUUGGACUAUCUGACGUGAAGCUACGAGAGCUACGGCCUAGCCCCCUUUCAGCAGGCCGAUUGCCCCCUGCAGAGUGAUCUGUGGAGUGCAGGGCUCCUGGGGCAGUCCCGUGGGCCGUGCCUCACCUGGUGUGCCCACCGGGCAUAUGUGAGCACGUGCGCACUUGGCAGUCCCUUCGCCCCGUCCCCAUGUUCCCUGUGGCAGCGGAACCCACAGUCUUCAGGAAGAGCAGCUGCGCUUGCUGGCUUUGCUGAUGCAAACGACCCUUCUUUCGUGUAUCUGCUAUCCCCGUUCCGUUCGUGUACAUGCCAUGCCUCUUCUGAAUUUGGUGUCCUGGCCUCUUUAGCAGCCUGCUCCCUUUGUGCUGGCCUGAUCAAGGCAUUUCUGAUGCCCUUCUUCAAAAAGUGGAACGUUGAAGCCGAAUCUCGUGCGGGUUGAAUGUUGAGAUUCCCAAAAGGAAGCGAUGCAGAGAGUAGUUUUCUCCAACUUCGGCUCUCGAGGCCUCCUGGGAGGGCUUCUCGCAGAACCACGUUGCCUCCAGCCAUCCCUCCGUCCUUCUGAUUAGCUUCAGAGCCUGGGCAAGGUAUGAGCGUGUGACCAUCUUGCAAGAAGGGAACCGAGGAUCGCAAACACCUGAUUUUCUUCAGGCCACACCGCCAGUUGGCGGCAGGGCUGGGCAGGGCUCGGCAGGGGUACGCCAUGCUCCCCGAGGUCUCCUAGAAUGAUGGGAAGACUCACGUCGCCUACUGUGGUGCCUCCAGCUACAGGAUGGCCGAAGGCCCUGCGGAUUGCCCGUGGCACGUUUCUCUUCGGGGGCCAGGUGUGCAACCAGGCCCCGCGCCGCCGUGCUGGCAGCUGAGGGUCUGAGAGGACUUUGCUUGGGCCACGGGACAAAGAAGUGUCAGACGUCCGAGUGGGACCUGGAGAGCCGGGACCCGGAACCCGUGCUCCUGAGCGGGAUGGAGUGGAGGUUUCCCGGCACGCAGAGGUGCUGCCUGGUCCGUGUCCUCCCGGGCGGGGCGGCGUCUUGUCCGAGGUGCCCCUGAGGCCACAGCAGUGCGCAGCCACCACUGCUUUGUGGUCUCCUGUCAGAAAGGACGUGACGGCCCCGGGGGUUGCGUGCAGGUAGAGGCCUGGUGAGUGAAGGUCUCGUGGGUCAGUCGUACGCCCGGAAGCCUGCAUCCGAGUGGAUGUUGCAAGCGGCAGCUCCUCCACGUUGGCGUCUGGCCCGAGACCGCCGCGGCCGAAGGCAGAAGCUGGGGACUUGCGCGUGUGAAGUGAGGGGACGCACGGUCUUGCCAGAGGACCUGGCCACGGGCGGUGCUGCAGCCAUCGGCCCUUCGCUCAGCGAGGCGAUGUCGACGGGCUGAGAGCCUGUGCCGGCCGUUGCCGG